This 353-nucleotide unclassified non-coding RNA is filed under the name soil metagenome. RNAcentral describes it as "partial contains 5.8S ribosomal RNA, internal transcribed spacer 2, and large subunit ribosomal RNA". The stretch from base 1 to 120 matches the Rfam family "5.8S ribosomal RNA", at positions 35 to 154 of the family's 154-position model. The record is from RNAcentral.
GAUGAAGAACGUAGCGAAAUGCGAUAAGUAAUGUGAAUUGCAGAAUUCAGUGAAUCAUCGAAUCUUUGAACGCACAUUGCGCCCGCCAGCAUUCUGGCGGGCAUGCCUGUUCGAGCGUCAUUUCAACCCUCGAGCCCCCCCGGGCCUGGCGUUGGGGAUCGGCGGAGCCCCCCGUGGGCACACGCCGUCCCCCAAAUGCAGUGGCGGUCCCGCCGCAGCUUCCAUCGCGUAGUAGCUAACACCUCGCGACUGGAGAGCGGCGCGGCCACGCCGUAAAACACCCAACUUCUGAAUGUUGACCUCGGAUCAGGUAGGAAUACCCGCUGAACUUAAGCAUAUCAAUAAGCGGAGGA